RNAcentral lists this ribosomal RNA (492 nucleotides) under uncultured bacterium. RNAcentral's name for it is "partial 16S ribosomal RNA". It matches the Rfam family "Bacterial small subunit ribosomal RNA", at positions 29 to 507 of the family's 1533-position model. The record is from RNAcentral.
AGUGAACGCUGGCGGUAGGCCUAACACAUGCAAGUCGAACGGCAGCACAGUAAGAGCUUGCUCUUACGGGUGGCGAGUGGCGGACGGGUGAGGAAUACAUCGGAAUCUACUUUUUCGUGGGGGAUAACGUAGGGAAACUUACGCUAAUACCGCAUACGACCUACUGGUGAAAGCAGGGGAUCUUCGGACCUUGCGCGAUUGAAUGAGCCGAUGUGGGAUUAGCUAGUUGGCGGGGGAAAGGCCCACCAAGGCGACGAUCCGUAUCUGGUCUGAGAGGAUGAUCAGCCACACUGGAACUGAGACACGGUCCAGACUCCUACGGGAGGCAGCAGUGGGGAAUAUUGGACAAGGGGCGAAAGCCUGAUCCAGCAAUACCGCGUGGGUGAAGAAGGCCUUCGGGUUGUAAAGCCCUUUUGUUGGGAAAGAAAAGCAGCAGGUUAAUACCCCGCUGUUAUGACGGUACCCAAAGAAUAAGCACCGGCUAACUUCGUG